This 500-nucleotide ribosomal RNA is filed under the name uncultured bacterium. Its description in RNAcentral is "partial 16S ribosomal RNA". It matches the Rfam family "Bacterial small subunit ribosomal RNA", at positions 30 to 523 of the family's 1533-position model. The record is from RNAcentral.
AUUGAACGCUGGCGGCAUGCUUUACACAUGCAAGUCGAACGGUAACAGGGUGCUUGCACCGCUGACGAGUGGCGAACGGGUGAGUAAUGCGUCGGAACGUGCCGAGUAGUGGGGGAUAACGCAGCGAAAGUUGUGCUAAUACCGCAUACGUACUGAGGUAGAAAGUGGGGGACCUUCGGGCCUCACGCUAUUCGAGCGGCCGACGUCUGAUUAGCUAGUAGGUGAGGUAAAGGCUCACCUAGGCGACGAUCAGUAGCGGGUCUGAGAGGAUGGUCCGCCAAACUGGGACUGAGACAGGGCCCAGACUCCUACGGGAGGCAGCAGUGGGGAAUUUUGGACAAUGGGCGAAAGCCUGAUCCAGCCAUGCAGCGUGUCUGAAGAAGGCCUUCGGGUUGUAAAGGACUUUUGUCAGGGAGGAAAUCCCUAGUGCUAGUAACACUGGGGGAUGACAGUACCUGAAGAAUAAGCACCGGCUAACUACGUGCCAGCCGCCGCGGUAA